Molecule: long non-coding RNA, 453 nt
Organism: Cottoperca gobio
Lineage: Eukaryota; Metazoa; Chordata; Actinopteri; Perciformes; Bovichtidae
Exons: 5
Source: RefSeq, a predicted model, not a curated record
AGCAGGCGGGCACAAUCAGUGAGAGCUGAUCAGUUUCAUUUCUCAAGAGAAGAUGCCUAACCCUUGUGCCUGUAUGAAACCAGCCCGACGCAAGGCUCAUCAGUACACUACCUCUACAGACAAGAGAUGUGGUGGCUCUUGAAUGCUGCGUUGAUUGUAGGAGAAGCAGUCGUUGCAGUCAGUGCCGUUGCAGCAGCUCCUUUAGUUCUGGGUGCUGUAUGUUUCACCUCAGCUGGAAUAGAUGCAGGCUCCUGGGCUCCCUACAUGAUGGCUGCUGCUGCUGUGAUGCCAAUAGGUGGAGCAGUGUUGGGAUGGCUGACUCUAAUCCUCAUCUGAGAAAUCAAUGAAGGAACAAUGUUUUUACUUUUGCCAAAUGAAGGAGGCGACUGCAAUCUGUUCCCUUAUUAAACGGCACUUUUUUUCAUCUCAGACAACUGAAAUGUUGUGUUCAAU